This 122-nucleotide ribosomal RNA is filed under the name Providencia rettgeri. RNAcentral's name for it is "partial 16S ribosomal RNA". It matches the Rfam family "Bacterial small subunit ribosomal RNA", at positions 1 to 117 of the family's 1533-position model. RNAcentral also lists the same sequence under 3 other names. Lineage: Bacteria; Pseudomonadati; Pseudomonadota; Gammaproteobacteria; Enterobacterales; Morganellaceae. The record is from RNAcentral.
UAAUUGAAGAGUUUGAUCAUGGCUCAGAUUGAACGCUGGCGGCAGGCCUAACACAUGCAAGUCGAGCGGUAACAGGGGAAGCUUGCUUCUCGCUGACGAGCGGCGGACGGGUGAGUAAUGUA